Tachysurus fulvidraco (yellow catfish) is the source of this 3952-nucleotide long non-coding RNA. RefSeq lists it as uncharacterized. NCBI's taxonomy places the organism in Eukaryota, Metazoa, Chordata, Actinopteri, Siluriformes, Bagridae. The transcript is spliced from 3 exons. The record is from RefSeq and is a predicted model, not a curated record.
GUACACACGAGUCAGGUGUGUGGCUGCGGCUCAAUUAAUGUUCAACUCCAUUAAGUUUAAUCAGUCGGGUGUUAAUCGAUCUCUGACCUUCAUGCUGAACGUGAUCGGCUCCAUGACGAACACUCGAUCGGGGAAAGUUCCGGCGAUUUCCUCCACGCUCGCAAAGUACUGAACUGGUUCCCGGACAUCCCGGUCCUGAUCCAGCAACUUAAACUUCCCUAAAGAGAGAUAAGGAGAAAGAGAUGGAGUGAGUUCUACUGAGUGAUAGAGAGAUAAGGAGAAAGAGAUGGACGGGAUGUCGAUCUUGGGUCCGAUGACGUAAUGCCCUUCCUCGAGCGAGUGCGCGGUGACUGUGGUCCACUGGCGGCAUGAGUGUAACAGGACCACGUCCUCCUCGGACAACCCUUCCACAUUUUCACCUGCAGGGAAACAGAGACGUGAAGAACAACUCUGCAGAAUAUGGAAGAAUUCCACAUCAGGUCAAACUGUAUCCCUGUAGUCACCAUCCUUCUACCCCAAUACACCCCAACAGACACUAAUUCUAUCCUCACCUCAUUUCUCAUGUUCUGUAUUAUUAUUUACAUCAUACCCACAUGUGCCCAAACAAGUGGCCACCCCAUUCCCAUGUGUUACAUUACGAUUCCCACCCCAUUCCCAACAUCAGCCAACCUAAGCUUAUUCAAGUGGGUCCAAACACCACCACCCUGUCAGGGUGAACUGUAUUGCCAUCUCCACCUUAUCUCCAUAUACCCAGUAUUCCCACUCCAUCUUCGUAUAAACCCACAUAUAUAAUAAUCCCCUGCCAUGAUGUGCCCUAAAAACCGCCCCAAAACUAUCUCUUCCUUAUUCCAACAUCCAUCCCCAUCGACAUUUGCCUUUCUACCAUACCUCACCAUAUCCCAAUAUACCACAACUCCAUUCCCAUAUUAUUUAUAACAUCCCGUAUUACUGUCUCCAUUUUAUAUCUCCACCCUUAUACCCCCAAACCAUACUCCUACCUGUCCCCACAACCGUUACCCUGUGGAUACUGUGUGUGCCUGAAAACCCUUAACCUAUCCUCAGAACAUCCCAUCCCAUCACUUCAACCCCAAACUUUUCCCUUUUGACCUUAUUCAAUACCAUCCCCACCCCAUCCACAAGUGCCCCAACCCCUUAUCUACUUCAACACCAAUCCCAACCCCGAUCCCAACUCUUCCCAACAUCUCCGUUCCCAUCCCCAUGUUCCCCAACAUUCCCAUUCUGCCCAUAACAGUGGAUCCCAACCUCAAUCCUACCUCCGGUGGUCCCAGCUCUGUCAGCAACACCGUUCACCAUGUGCCUCCAUCACCAGCUGGUGUGUGUUAAACCACUGGUUCAUCAGCAUGCAUGGUCAAAACCUUUAGAAUGAUAUAUUUUCUUUUUAAUAUCCCGUCACUACCCCAGACUGCCCAAGUCCCCUGUUAAACUGUGCAAGGUUUAAAUGUUGAUUUCCCCCAUUCUUGUGCAUCUCUUCAACUCAGACUAGAUUUCUCUGGCAGUAAGCUGAACUAAACACGCACACACACACACACACACACACACACACACACACACACACACACACACACAAACACACAGGAAACCACAUCAACAGUCAUCACUACGGAAACUAACACUGCUGGCAGGGAUCAUUUGGGAACGUGAGCCAAAAGUGUAAUCACUCUCUCUCUCUCUCUCUCUCUCUCUCUCUCUCUCUCUCUCUCUCUCUCUCUCUGUGUCUCUUUCUCUCUCUUUCUCUCUCUCUCUCUCUCUCACACACACACACACACACACACUGCAAUACACCUCUACAUAAAUGACACACUUCAAUUUUUUCAACUAGCUGCACUAGAGGGCAAUAUUAUUAUACGGCAUAAGCCAAUCACUGAAGAGAGACACAGAUCACAUUAAAAAUAUCUUGUCUUGAGAUAGAGUAAUGAAUGAAAGAGAGAGAGAGAGAGAGCGCAAGAGAGAGAGACAGGGGGGUUGUGAUGAAAGAAGAGUGUAUUGAUCAGCUGCUAAAAGAAUCCUUCAUUGAUGCGAGUCUGAAAAAAGGCUUUUACUGAGGAAAUGAGACACACACACACAGACACACACAGUGAGAGAGAGAGAGAGAGAGAGUCAUAGGUUCUGCUGAACAUCUCAGUUGUCUAUAAUUACUAUUGUCGGCUGAUACGGUGAUAUAUCCCACCUACACACGCACACACACACACACACACAAGCUUACAUAAACAUUAACCCCUAUGGCAACCCAUAAUAAAGCUUUGUGUGUGUGUAAACUGGAUGAUCACGAAGCGCAAAUGAACUGUGAAGAAUUCUGGGGUCAGAAACAAAGAAAAGAAACAAAGAGAGAGAGAGAGAGAGAGAGAGAGAGAUGAUGUUGGACAAGGUCAAGAGUUAAACCACAGGUCAAGCACAACUACAGGGUCAACAUAGGGGCAGAGUGUGUGUGUGUGUGUGUGUGUGUGUGUGUGUGUGUGUGUGUGUGUGUGUGUGUGUGUGUGUGUGAGAGAGACAGAAUGACUAAGACGUUUAUAGAAAGUGAGUGAGGAAGUGAAUGAAAGCAGGUUAAAGGAGAGUUAGAAUGAAUUGUGAGUGAAGUAGAAGGUGUUUUAUUCCUAAAGCACAUUAAUGACUGCACAUGUGAUGGAGUGACUGAUGGAGUGAGUGAUGGAGUGAGUGACGGAGUGACUUAUGGAGUGACUAAGAAAGUAUGCGAACACAUCACUGAUAUAAUCUUAUCACUAAUUACAGAACAGCGGUAAUGAUCCAAGACCGUCAUUCGGUACAGUUCGAGUUUAACCAAUCGGUGACGUUUCAGUGUUUGUCCUAAAGAUAAAAUAUGUGCUAAAAAAUGUAAAAUAAAUGUAAAUAAUUCUUUUAGGUUUGUGUUUAAUGCUCAGUAGCACUGACUGCACUCAUAGUCCUACUUUAAACUUGACUUAUUACAUGUCAUUAAUGACUUAUUACAGUGUUAUAAUCUGUAUUAUUACACUAUUAUGUACGUGAGACUCAGUUAGGGGGCGUGGCUUAGAAUUUCGGAGGUGGACUCGUCAUGUUCAUUUGGCUCUAGUUACAGAUGGUAUUAGUGAGACGAAGUUUUGAGGCGAGUGUGACAUGGUUUAGACCAGCGCUUGUUUGUCGGCUGGUGUGAUGCGCAAACUACGAAUAAAUAUAACAAAUAUCAAAAAUACUAAAAGGAGGAGUUGUUUUGUAACUUCUGGGAUCAUUUUAGAUACUUUUUUGUGUUCAGUGGUUGAAAAUGUUGCUAAUAUCUGGCAACCCUGUGAAGUAUCUAGAAUAUCUAGAACAUGACACUCGGUACUAGGAAAAGUUUAUUAUUUUGAAAAGAGCUCAGUUACUGUGACGCUAAUGCGAAUGUAGUUACACUGGAAACAUUCAAAACUGCGAUGAUGUCAUGAUUUUAAAGUCUUCAAGAAACUUUAAGAAUCCCAAAUUUAUGCUAUGAUGCCAAAUCUGUGGUUAUAACCCUCUAUCAGCUAGCCGCAUAACGCCUCGAGACUCCCGAGGCAAAAUACAGACUUGGCUGAUUUUCCCUGAUGGUAAAACCGGUGAAGAUCCGAUUUUCCCGUAAAUUCCUCCUUUCACUCGUCUCUCCUUUUCACUCACGUCGCUGAAAAUUGGAGCGCAUCGGGGAGCUCGUCCUCGUUAGUAUGCACGGCACUCGGACACGGAUCAGCACAUUUCCAUAUGAAAGGCUCUGCAUCACUUCUGGGACACAACAGCCACUUUGUCACCUUCGCCAAAAGCCAGAUCAACUAUUUACACCAUAAGCUUCGUUGGAAACUCAUUCCACCUCACCGUUAAUGUCGCACUCUGCACAUCGGGAACACAGAGACUUGUUACAUCCCUGUGGGAAAACUGUGUGGUCUGGUCUGAUUGUCCCUGUGUUCUGUCUUCAUCUGAUACAUUAAAAUCCUUUGUCCCCUCUGCA